CCCUUAGAUGUUCUGGGCUGCACGCGCGCUACACUGUCGGAUUCAGCGAGUCAUAUCCUUAACCGAAAGGUUUGGGUAAUCUUUUGAAGGUCCGACGUGAUGGGGAUUGAUCAUUGUAAUUAUUGAUCAUGAACGAGGAAUUCCUAGUAAGCGCGAGUCAUCAGCUCGCGUUGAUUACGUCCCUGCCCUUUGUACACACCGCCCGUCGCUACUACCGAUUGAAUGGUUUAGUGAGAUCUUCGGAUUGGCGCCUACGCGGCUUCUCUGAGGCCACGCUGGAUGCCGAAAAGUUGCUCAAACUGUAUCAUUUAGAGGAAGUAAAAGUCGUAACA
RNAcentral lists this ribosomal RNA (332 nucleotides) under uncultured eukaryote. Its description in RNAcentral is "partial 18S ribosomal RNA". It matches the Rfam family "Eukaryotic small subunit ribosomal RNA", at positions 1470 to 1796 of the family's 1831-position model. The record is from RNAcentral.